This 1053-nucleotide long non-coding RNA is filed under the name Setaria viridis. RNAcentral describes it as "long non-coding RNA (SVIR_LNC010054)". The record is from RNAcentral. Lineage: Eukaryota; Viridiplantae; Streptophyta; Magnoliopsida; Poales; Poaceae.
AAGAAGCAUACCGAGGAGUUGACUGUGGAGACGGAGGCCCGUUUGGUGCAGUUGUUGUCCGCAAUGAUGAAGUUGUAGUUAGUUGUCAUAACAUGGUUUUGAAGCACACCGAUCCAACCGCGCAUGCUGAAGUAACAGCAAUAAGAGAGGUAGGGUGCUCUAAUUCAGGCCUCAAAAUCCAAAUAUGAGGACUGUUGACCCUCCAAUUGGACUCCCCUUCUAUGCUUUUGGUGUUAGCACCAUGUUGUGCUUGUAGUAAGUUAAAAGCCACUCUUGUCAAAAAAAUAAGUUAAAAGCCACGUUCACAUACAUACAUUAAGUUUGCUGGACUCAAAUUUAGUGGUAGUAACUUAGAUGACUCUGCUGUUGAAUCAGUUAAAGCAAAACAAAUUGAUAGCUGAAAAUUGUGUAGAUUCCUGUGAAAAGUUACCAAAGUGAUAGGUCAAAGACUAGUUCACAAAAAAACAAAUCACAGUAGAUCGUAUAGACAAUUAGAUGUACAAGUAUAACAGAUGUUUUCAAGAUCACUGGAUAAAAAACGACAAUGUCAGGUCUGCCUGAGCCUUACUUCUGUGACCAUACAAUGCUUUCAUAGUGCUUGUUGCAUUAUUCAUUUGUUUCUUUGUAUAGCUUGGAUAAUCCGAUAUCCUUCUCAUAUAAAAAUGUUUCUUUUGUAUGCUAGGCUUGCAAAAAGCUUGGAAAAAUUGAGCUGUCGGAUUGUGAAAUUUACGCGUCCUGUGAACCAUGCCCAAUGUGUUUUGGUGCUGUUCAUCUUUCCCGGAUUAAGGUCUGUUUCUUUUCUUGUUCUUCAUAUGUUAGAAUAGUUAGUAAAUUACUAAUUAAUAAUCUUGUUCCAUGCUGUACUGCAGAGGCUGGUGUAUGGAGCCAAGGCUGAAGCUGCUAUUGCCAUUGGGUUUGAUGAUUUCAUUGCUGAUGCUCUCAGAGGAACUGGGUACUACCAGAAGUCCAACAUGGAAAUAAAGCAGGCAGAUGGAAAUGGAGCCCUGAUUGCGGAACAAGUCUUUGAGAAGACUAAAGAGAAGUUCCAAAUGU